RNAcentral lists this ribosomal RNA (564 nucleotides) under uncultured bacterium. RNAcentral's name for it is "partial 16S ribosomal RNA". It matches the Rfam family "Bacterial small subunit ribosomal RNA", at positions 355 to 1375 of the family's 1533-position model. The record is from RNAcentral.
UGGGGAAUAUUGCACAAUGGGCGAAAGCCUGACGCAGCAACGCCGCGUGAGUGAUGAAGGCCUUCGGGUUGUAAAGCUCUGUCUUUUGGGACGAUAAUGACGGUACCAAAGGAGGAAGCCACGGCUAACUACGUGCCAGCAGCCGCGGUAAUACGUAGGUGGCAAGCGUUGUCCGGAUUUACUGGGCGUAAAGGAUGCGUAGGCGGAUUUUUAAGUGAGAUGUGAAAACCCCUAAGCUUAACUUGGGGACUGCAUUUCAUACUGGAAAUCUAGAGUGCGGGAGAGGAGAAUGGAAUUCCUAGUGUAGCGGUGAAAUGCGUAGAGAUUAGGAAGAACACCAGUGGCGAAGGCGAUUCUCUGGACCGUAACUGACGCUGAGGCAUGAAAGCGUGGGUAGCAAACAGGAUUAGAUACCCUGGUAGUCCACGCCGUAAACGAUGAGUACUAGGUGUAGGAGGUAUCGACCCCUUCUGUGCCGCAGUUAACACAAUAAGUACUCCGCCUGGGAAGUACGAUCGCAAGAUUAAAACUCAAAGGAAUUGACGGGGUCAUAGCUGUUUUCCU